GACGAACGCUGGCGGCGUGCUUAACACAUGCAAGUCGAACGGAAAGGCCCUGCCUUUGUGGGGUGCUCGGGUUGCGAACGGGUGACUAACCCGUGAGUAACCUGUCCUUGACCUUGGGAUAACUUCAUGACACUGGAGCUCUUACCGCCUAGGAGCUCCUGCUUCAUGGUGGGGGUUCGAAGGAUUAGGUGGUUGGGGAUGGACUCGCGGCUUAUCAGCUUGGUGGUGGGGUAGUGUCUUACCAUGACUUGGACGGGUAGCAGGCCUGAGCGGGUGAGCGGCCACAUUAGGAUUGAGAUAAGGCACGGACUCCUACGGUAGGCAGCAGUGGGGAAUAUAGCACAAUGCGCGGAAGCCAAAUGUAGCAACGCAGCGCGCGGGAUGAGGGCCAUCGGGUUGUGAUCUGCUUUCGCCUGUGACGAAACGUGAAUGACGGUAAUGGGUGAAGAAGCACCGGCUAACUACGUG
RNAcentral lists this ribosomal RNA (468 nucleotides) under uncultured bacterium. RNAcentral describes it as "partial 16S ribosomal RNA". It matches the Rfam family "Bacterial small subunit ribosomal RNA", at positions 28 to 507 of the family's 1533-position model. The record is from RNAcentral.